RNAcentral lists this long non-coding RNA (7341 nucleotides) under Malus domestica (apple). Its description in RNAcentral is "long non-coding RNA (MDOM_LNC011192)". The record is from RNAcentral. Lineage: Eukaryota; Viridiplantae; Streptophyta; Magnoliopsida; Rosales; Rosaceae.
AACCGUUGAAAACCCGAGAACCCAGGCACCCCGAAGAAGGCACUGCUUAUACUCUUGUGAUCGUGGGGGUUUCAGUUGAUUCUGAGCUUAUGGGAAGCUUUAGAUCACCCUCAUGAUGCUCGGAGUACCAUUUUCACGAAGUUUGGACGUCGGGAUUGUGUAGAACCAAAGAACCCAAUAUUUGGUACUGUUCAUGUGCUCGUGGAAUUAAAGGUUUCAAGGUAUUUGGAGCUCAUAGGGAGCUUAAGGACCUCUCCACGAAGCUCGGAGAGGAAGAAUGAGGUGAUUUAGACGUCUGGAGACCGAGAUCGAAGCAUCACGGUUUGGCCGGAAUUAUCGAAGGAUCUCUGGCAAAUUCUCGAAGGUUUUAGGUCCAAAUCUUGGUAAAGUUUUGUUUCUUAUGUUGUAAGCUUCAUUUUGGUGAAGAUUUCAUGAAAAAUGGUUAAGAAUUGACUGAAAUACGAAGCCUGGAAAAUUUCCAGAAACCGGCGAGUUGCAGCGGCACCGGCGACGGUCUCCGGCGAACCAAGGAAGAAGGAGGAGUAUACUCCGUCAAGUCUGACGGAAUAUGCUAACGGCGUCAGUUAUAUUAAACGGUAUAUUCUGAUUUUUAACGGAAUAUUCCCUAACUGCCGUUACUGUUACCGUUAGGGUUCCUCGCGCGUGGCGGCGCGUCUUGCCGUGCACUCGCCGGCGCGUGGCGGCGCGUGGGUGGUCGGAAAAUUUUUCUAAAAUUAUGGGGUUGUUCGUGAGGUUGAGUAAUCACUGUGGUAUAUUCAUAUACCCAAAUUGAGCAACGUAUGAGAAGUUAUUUCCAAGGUUUUGAUUAUGUGCUUAAAUAACGUUAUUUCGGUUACUUCUCAUAUAGGCGAGGCUUAUGCGGACGAUGAGCAAAGUUAAGGGAGGCUCGGGGGCUACGACCCUUCGACAUAUCUGUGUGUGGGCAGUUUUGUUUUCGUAUUACCUAUAUACUACUGUUUUCCCAUAAAAUACGUUUAUAUGAAAAUAUGAUUUAAAUUGCCAUGCAUGCAAUUGUUGAGAUAUUUAAAUUGAUAAUUGAUGCAUAUAUAUGUGAAUUGACGCGGUGGACGCACAGGUGAGUCUUUACAUUAUUCAGACGAUUUAUUUUAUGUGAAUUGCAUUGGAAGCUCAUAACCUGCACCCUAGGUGUUAGUGCUUAUAUUAUUCACCACACCGCACGCUCGCCUUGGAUCCAAGUAGGUGGAUGUCGUACAGACCACUAGAGGUGGUUCCGACAUGCCAGUCGUACAGACCAUUAGAGUGGUUCCGACUGGUGGGUGACCUUAGAUUACGUGCACAAAUGAUUGAUGAGAGAAGCACUAGAGCGUAUUAUUACACCAUUAUAGUCGUACAGACUACUUUAGGUAGUUCCGACUUAUGUGCAGUGUAGCGCCGUAUAGGUCACAGUUGGUGACUCCGGCAGGGCAGUACAGGUCACAGUUGGUGACUCCGGCUGGAUGAGAUUUUGAGCUAUAGUUUCAGCCGUACAGGACCAUUGUAGGAUCUCCGGUUGAUUUAUUUUUCACCUGAUUUAUAUUGAUGCAUUCAUAUUAUAGUUUGGCAUGGCAUGGCAUAUUUUUUUCCGAAAAGUGUUAAAGAAAUGAGUUUUGAGAUUUAUGAAAGUAUAUUUGUACAUAUGCUAUUUUUCUGGGAAAGUACAAGUUUUACGGAGAGGGGUUACAACGUUUUGAGAAAUGUUUUGUCUUGAAAAGAUUGGUUUUACUGACCCACUCAACUUUGUUUUUCGCUCCUCCAGGUUCGAGACAGAGCAGAGCUUUGGUGGCCACGAGGAAUCCAACGGUGUUCUGACAGAAUUUCAAAAACGUAGGUUUCACUUUCGGGUAUUAUACAUUAGUAUUUAUGUCUUUAAAGCUUCCGAACCGUGUAAAUGGUUACGUCACUCUCACGUGAUGGCCAACAUACCCUCCUUCGGGACGAGGUGUGUCAGUCAGAGCCCUAGGUUGCAAUCCUGGACAUCUUGAGAAUUCCCUAGUGUCUUCUGUCAGAACUAUACCACCUCGUAGGGAGCCACGCCAUUUAGAUGAGCUUAGUUUCCCUAAUUUAGCAGUUUAGGGGAAACUAUUGCUAUUGUGAUUCAGUCUAUUAUCUAAGAAACCCUUUGAGACUGGUUAUAAGUUGAAUUUGAAUCACUUUAUGGAAUUAUGAACCUGAGGGAGCAGAGUGUUGGCUUACUCACUUGGAAAAGACGUUUUGGAUUAUGCAAGUUAAAGGAAUCUUCCUUCUGACAGGUGGGUCGAGACGACUACCUGGUUGUGGGUUAUGAAUUUGUAUCCUGGUGGAAACAGGAGUAUUAUUCGUUGUCACCGGAGGAAACAACCGAUUGAGAAUUGUUUAAGGAAUUGUUAAAGAAAAGAUUUAUUCCUCCGACAUAUUAUGAUGGUAGUAAGCAAGAGUUUGCAAAUGUGAAACAAGGAAGAUGACAACAAAUGAGUAUUAUAGAAAGUUUUCAGACUUGCCUCGUUUCCAUUCGGAUAUUGUUGCUAAUUUGGUUGAGUUGUUAUGUUGUUUUAGGCUGGGUAAUAAGAAGAAGUGGCAUUUUUGGGGACCACUAUCCAUUGUACUGAUUAUCAAGAGUUUACGAGAUGUUGUUGAAAAUUGAGGAUUCUGAGAAUAUGAUCAGCUAGAGUAAAGAGGAAUAAGAAAAAAAAUGGGAAUUAGAAGAAAGACGAUAAAGAUGAUGAUCCGUCAUAUCAAGGACCUCGAAAGAUUCAGAGUUCCAUAAGUGAAGCUAGAGCGAAUUCUCCCAGCUGAGGUUUUAAUGCCACUGGUCAGAGGUGAAGUGAUAGAUUUAUUGGUGAUCCCAGAUCUCAGAGACAAGGUGAUUUGAAUAAGGGAAAUGUACCUUUGUACAGCAGGAACAAUAUUAGACACUUGGAGAGUGGGAAUCAAUGAAUGUGUCAUGUGGACAGGUGGAACAUAGAGUUAUGUGUUGCCCCUAGAAUCAGUUGUUAACCAGCAGUUUUCCCUGACACCACAGUAUCGAUCCAGCAGGUUUACGGACUUAGUAGUUUUGGUCAGAUUGACCGUGGGUACAUGGAUAGAUGAGUUAUAUGUUCAGCUGUACAGGCCAUAAGAGGUGGAUCCGGCUGACAUAUUAUUUGGAUAGUUGUUGAGUAAGUUGUACAGGUCACUAUAGGUGACUCCGACUUAAUCGCUAGCAUGGAUGGUUGAGCUUGAGAAUCAGCCGUACAGGUCAUUCUAGCUGACUCCGGCUGAUAUGUAUCUUAUUAUGGAUGAUGUUGCCAAGGAAAGUAGCGAAUGAGCACGAUCGAGGCGUGAAUAUGUAUUUUUCCCUGUGAGGAGUAAGAUGGUAAUGUUGCACCCUUUGGAAUUGUUGCUUACUUACCGAGACAACGAUAAUUUAUUAAUAUUGUGGGCUGCAGACCGUAAUAUUAAUAACUUAUUCGUUGGAUCCGUUAAGCAAGUAAACAGGUAGGUUACCCUACAUGAGUUUGGUGUUAUUAAGAGUGUUCAGUGAUGGUCGAAAAUAUAGUUAUGCCAGUGAAUCUUAUUUCGUUGGAGAUUUGGAUGUGAUUUUAGGCACAUAUUAGUAGCAUUAAAUCGUGCCAUCAUAGAUUGCUACGAGAAACUAGUUACUUUCCAUUGAUCUGAUUGACUGGAGUUUACUUUUGUAGGUAUGCAAAGUGGAGCGAGGCAUGUCGUUAGUUGCUGGGAGAGCAAAUAGAUUGUUAUCGAAAGGCUGCCAAGGAUAUUUAGCUCAUGCAGUACUAAGAGAUGUUGCUCUGAGUAGUGUGAAGGAUGUCAAGGUGGUUGGACAUUUUCUUGAUGUUUUCCCUGAGGAAUUUCCUGGAUUACCAUCAGGCGGAGAUGUGGAGUUCAUUAUUAAUUUGUCUCCAGGUACGGACCUUAUAUUAUAGAUUGAUGUCUUCUGAGUUAAGGGAAUUGAACAAGUUCAGUUACAAGAAUUGAUUGAUAAAGGUUCCAUUCAACAUAGUUUGUUGCUUUGGAGGACCCCAGUUUUGUUUGUAAGGAGGAAGAAAAUGAACGUUAAGACUAUACAUUAAUUAUAGGAAACUGAAUCGGGCAAAUUUUGAGAACGAUUAUCUAUUGCCACGCAUGGAUGAUUUGUCAAUCGAUUUGGAGGUGCCUGCGUAUUUCCUAAGAUGGAUUUGAGGUCUGGUUAUUACCAAUUGGAGAUUGAGUGACGAUGUUCCUAAGAUUGUUUUCAGGACUCGUUAUGGUCAUUAUGAGUUUUAGUGAUGCUAUUCGGACUGACGAAUGCGCCUGCUGCUUUCACGAGAUUGUUAAGACUUGAUCAGAACAUAUCGGACAUCUUAAAUUGGUAUUACAAAGAUUGAAGGAACGUCGAUGUAUGCUAAGUUUAGCAAAUGCUAAUGUUGGGUGAGUCAUGUAGCAUUUCUGAGUUAUGUUAUAUCUGCUUAAGGUACUCAAUUGAAAUCUUAAAAUGUAGCAGAAUUGGAGAAAUUGGAACAACCGUGAACCGUGGCUGAAGUUUGAAAUUUUCUUGGCUUAGUAGGGUGUUAUAGAUGGUUUGUUGAGGGUUUUUCAGUUAUUACCUUGCCAUUGACGAGUUUGAUAAGGAAAGAGGUUAUGUGUGAGUGGGAAGGAAAUUGUGAGUAAAGUUUCCAAUAGUUGCAGUAUUUCCUCACUCAUGCGUAUGUUUUAGCACUUCAAGACGUUAACGGUAAUUAUGAGGUCUUUAAUGAUGCUUCUUUGAAUGGUAUUGGAUGUGUUAAGGCAAAAGUGUUAGGGUAAUUGCCUAUGCUCCGCGACAAAUUGAAACCUCAUGAGAUAAUUUACUCUACUCAUAAGUUAGAAUUUGCACUAUCAUCCUUACUUUGAAGUUAUGGAGACAUUACCGCUAUGGUGAGAAAUACAAGAUUGUUAUGGAUUAUAAGAGUCUUUAGUAUCUGUUUACACAGAGGGAUUUUAAUCUUAGACAACGAAGGUGGAUUGAGUUGCUUAGUGUUUAUGAUUGCAUGACCAGGGUGAUCGUGAAAUUUUUAUAGCUGAUGCACUUGAUAAGAAGACUGCAGUGAGGAUUAAUGCCUGGUAUGUUUGCCAUGUUCAUCUUCUUGUGGAUUUGAGACCUACUGGAAUAAAGUUGAGAAUGGAAGAUCGGGAAUAAGCCGUACUUGCUAAUUUUCAAGUUAGGCUUUUUUGGUAAAUCGUACUCGAGACUCAAGCGUUUGACGAAGAAAUUCAAUUUAAAGCAAGGAAUAACGGGAAAAAGAAAGAUUUCAGAAUUCGAGAAUCGGAUGACAUGUUUAUGCAAGAAAACAAGACGUAUGUGCCUAAUGACGUGGAAUCAAAGAAAGCAAUUUUGGACAAAGAGCACUAUUCAGCUUAUGCAACGCAUCCUGAAAGUAUUAAAAUGUAUCAUACCAUUCGACAAUUUUUCUAUUGGCCGGGCAUGAAAAGAAAAAUUACGGAGUAUGUAAGUUUGUGUAUUAUUGGUCAGCAGAUUGAAGCAAAAAGAAAGAAACCUUUGGAUUGAGACAGCUAUUUUCUGUUUCGCAGUGGAAGUGGAAACAAUAUUACUUUAGAUUAUGUGUACAAGCUUCCUCGUACACGAGAUGGUCAUGAUUAAAUUUGAGGCUAUAGAUGGUCGGUUUACCAAGUCAGCGCAUGUUACGCCAGUGAAGAGUAGCAACCUUUCCAGACAGUGCAACAAUUACUUAUUUGUUUAUGGAAAUAGAUUUGGACUUACGGAGCUGCGGAGCUUUUAAGUGUGUUGGUUACGUCAGUUUUCCGAAAGUAGCACCAUUAGGCCCAUGAAAACAGUGUCAUGUGUAUCGAUUUUUGUUAACUUGUGGACGGAAUGUUUCUGGGGAGAAAAAGAUUCGACCGCGAAAGGUACAAUAGUAGAGGAGACUACUCAGAACGCUCAAGUACUUAAGCCUAACCGACUGACAUGCUAUUGUUCGAGUAUGCAUGGUUAAUGAUUUGAUAUUUUUGAAACUUUCACCAAGGAAAGAGAUAGUAAGGUUUGGAAGAAAGACAAGCUAAGUGCUAGUUACAUCAGACCGUUUUUUAUCACUGAAGGAAUCGAUGAAGUUGCAUACAGGUUUGAGUUGUCUUCAGAAUUGGCUAAGGUGCCUAAUGUAUUUUUGUUUUGAUGUUUCGUCACUAUGUAGCAUAUCCGUCGUAUGGGAUUCCAGUUCAACCUUUGGAGAUUAAUCGAAUUUGACUUAUGUUGAGGAACCAGUGACGAUCUUGGGUUGGAAAAAAGAAAGUUCUGAGAACUAAGAUAGCGUACUUAGUAAACGUUUUGUGAAGAAACCAUUCAGUGGAAGAAACUGCAUGGGAGACAGAGAAUUGGAUGAGAGAGAUGUAUAUCAGUUUGUCUUAUGUUUAUUGGUGGAUUAUGAUCGUAUGAAAUUUCGAGGACGAAAUUUUAUAAGGUGGGUAGAUUGUAACAGCCCGUCCUAAAAUAUUGGAAUAUUUUAUUUUCUAAUGGCGUGAAAAGACGAUUUUGCCCUUGGGUUAAUGAAUUUUGUUGUGGCGUUGUAUGGCUUAAGUUGUGAAUGUGGACAAAUAGGUUAAGUCCCUAAUAUUUUGGAACCAAUUAGGGACUUAGACUUGAAUUAUUUUUGUUGUUGUUUUGCCUUGGUUGGCUGGAUCACGCACGGACCACACAUUCACCCACCCGUUGACCUUUUCUCUCUCAUCUCCCUUUCGAUUUUCUGCAACGUCCGUACAAACGUACGGACGAACCUCAAACCAACCCAUUUAUGCACAGAUCAAGCUUGUGAUUAGUACCAUCUCCUUCCUCUCGUCAUCGCGAACUCAACCAUACCAAUUGUUGGACGUGAAACCGUUGAAAACCCGAGAACCCAGGCACCCCGAAGAAGGCACUGUUUAUACUCUUGUGAUCGUGGGGGUUUCAGUUGAUUCUGAGCUUAUGGGAAGCUUUAGAUCACCCUCAUGAUGCUCGGAGUACCAUUUUCACGAAGUUUGGACGUCGGGAUUGUGUAGAACCAGAGAACCCAAUAUUUGGUACUGUUCAUGUGCUCGUGGAAUUAAAGGUUUCAAGGUAUUUGGAGCUCAUAGAAAGCUUAAGGACCUCUCCACGAAGCUCGGAGAGGAAGAAUGAGGUGAUUUAGACGUCUGGAGACCGAGAUCGAAGCAUCACAGUUUGGCCGAAAUUAUCGAAGGAUCUCUGGCAAAUUCUCGAAGGUUUUAGGUCCAAAUCUUGGUAAAGUUUUGUUUCUUAUGUUGUAAGCUUCAUUUUGGUGAAGAUUUCAUGAAAAAUGGUUAAAAAUUGACUGAAAUACGAAGCCUGGAAAAUUUCCAGAAACCGGCGAGUUGCAGCGG